This 395-nucleotide long non-coding RNA is filed under the name Mytilus galloprovincialis (Mediterranean mussel). The record is from RNAcentral. Lineage: Eukaryota; Metazoa; Mollusca; Bivalvia; Mytilida; Mytilidae.
UUUUUUUGUCUCCAUAAAAUGGAACAAAUAUGCAUUGGUAUGCAACACAAGAAUUAUGAGUACAGAAUAAAAUGAAAACUCAAACAGUUUUGAAAAUGAUAGGGUUGGUGCUUUUAUGAUUCUUCUUAUAGAUGCAACUAUAAUUAAUAUGUAAAACAUGAACUAAACAAAAAAAAGAAGUUGUUUAAUGACUCUAUUGAGGGUAUUGGGACAGAAGGUGUUUGCUUUUUGUCAACAAAAAAACAAUAGCCAUGGGUAAAUAUAAGUGUAUGUUUGCCGACUUUUUGGACUCAAUAUACUGUCAUAAAUCUAACAAGUUCGUGCUUGUGUCAAUUGGUUUAAUCUAGUUAUAUUUGUACCAAUGUGUUCCACGAUUCUUGCUCUUUGGAUAUAAU